RNAcentral lists this transfer RNA (63 nucleotides) under Neotoma lepida (desert woodrat). It matches the Rfam family "tRNA". From Rfam's summary of the family: Transfer RNA (tRNA) molecules are approximately 80 nucleotides in length. Their secondary structure includes four short double-helical elements and three loops (D, anti-codon, and T loops). Lineage: Eukaryota; Metazoa; Chordata; Mammalia; Rodentia; Cricetidae. The record is from Rfam by way of RNAcentral.
GGGGAUUUAGCUCAGUGGUAGAGUGCUUGCUUUGCAAGUGAAAGGCCCUGGGUNCAGUCCUCA